UACGAAGGGGGCUAGCGUUGUUCGGAAUUACUGGGCGUAAAGGGUGCGUAGGCGGGUCUUUUAAGUCAGGGGUGAAAUCCUGGAGCUCAACUCCAGAACUGCCUUUGAUACUGAGGAUCUUGAGUUCGGGAGAGGUGAGUGGAACUGCGAGUGUAGAGGUGAAAUUCGUAGAUAUUCGCAAGAACACCAGUGGCGAAGGCGGCUCACUGGCCCGAUACUGACGCUGAGGCACGAAAGCGUGGGGAGCAAACAGG
This 254-nucleotide ribosomal RNA is filed under the name uncultured bacterium. Its description in RNAcentral is "partial 16S ribosomal RNA". It matches the Rfam family "Bacterial small subunit ribosomal RNA", at positions 524 to 776 of the family's 1533-position model. The record is from RNAcentral.